AACACAAAUUGUACUUUCCAGUAUUCUGGGAAGUAUGCUUGGUUGAGGGUCAUUAAAAUAACAUUCGCGAAUUUUUUUGCGGAUUUGAGUUUUCCAGUAUUUUAUUAAAAAUGUUGGUAACUUUAAAAUUAUUAUUACUUGGUACAAGUUGAAGACGUUCUAUAUGUGUGGUUCGCUGACAACUUGACCAUCAUCAUAUAUUAUGCGCGCACUUGGUUUUUACGCUCUGUGCGAGUAUAUAUUUUUUUAUGACCUCAGCUCAAGUAAGAAUACCCGCUGAACUUAA
RNAcentral lists this unclassified non-coding RNA (286 nucleotides) under uncultured Diversisporaceae. RNAcentral's name for it is "sequence contains ITS2". The record is from RNAcentral. Lineage: Eukaryota; Fungi; Glomeromycota; Glomeromycetes; Diversisporales.